AUAGAAUAUAGCGAGACGGGUGCCCUUAGGGGCUUAAUAGGGAAGUCCGGUUAAAAGCCGGCGCGGUCCCGCCACUGUAACGGGGAAUAAGCUCAUGAUAUGCCACUGGGAUAAAUCCCGGGAAGGUUUGAGUACAUGAUGAUCCGGAGCCAGGAGAACUGCCUGUUUAACAAUCGCCGU
RNAcentral lists this non-coding RNA (180 nucleotides) under Propionispora sp. 2/2-37. Lineage: Bacteria; Bacillati; Bacillota; Negativicutes; Selenomonadales; Sporomusaceae. The record is from RNAcentral. RNAcentral also lists the same sequence under 1 other name.